This 448-nucleotide ribosomal RNA is filed under the name uncultured bacterium. RNAcentral's name for it is "SSU rRNA". It matches the Rfam family "Bacterial small subunit ribosomal RNA", at positions 26 to 518 of the family's 1533-position model. The record is from RNAcentral.
AGAGCGAACGCUGGCGGCAGGCCUAACACAUGCAAGUCGAGCGCCCGUAGCAAUACGGGAGCGGCAGACGGGAUAGUAACACGUGGGAACGCGCCCUUCGGUUCGGAAUAACUCAGGGAAACUUGAGCUAAUACCGAAUACGCCCUUACGGGGAAAGAUUUAUUGCCGAAGGAACGGCCCGCGUCCGAUUAGCUAGUUGGUGAGGUAAUGGCUCACCAAGGCUACGAUCGGUAGCUGGUCUGAGAGGAUGACCAGCAUCACUGGGACUGAGACACGGCCCAGACUCCUACGGGAGGCAGCAGUGGGGAAUAUUGGACAAUGGGCGCAAGCCUGAUCCAGCCAUGCCGCGUGAGUGAAGAAGGCCUUCGGGUUGUAAAGCUCUUUUGUCGGGGACGAUAAUGACGGUACCUGAAGAAUAAGCCCCGGCAAACUUCGUGCCAGCAGCCGC